Molecule: ribosomal RNA, 97 nt
Filed under: Snodgrassella alvi
Lineage: Bacteria; Pseudomonadati; Pseudomonadota; Betaproteobacteria; Neisseriales; Neisseriaceae
Source: RNAcentral
GGUUGGUCCCACGCCUUCCCAUCCCGAACAGGACCGUGAAACGACCUAGCGCCGAUGAUAGUAUGGAUACCCAUGUGAAAGUAGGACACCGCCAGAC